AUCUACUCACAGUGCUUGGGUGGAGGUAUGUGUCUGGGGCCGUGGGCGUGCGUUUCGUGCGUGCGUUCUCGUGCUUGAGCGCUUCCUCUGUUGCUCACCUCUGUGCUCUUACUCGGAGGGGGUGACUUCUGUGUCACCUUGAGUAAAUCAUGGUGCUCACAGCAGUCGUGCGGGCCCUGUGCCCUGUGAACAGUCUAUGCGGACUGAAUUGGUUUUGCAAGGCAUGACGAAACAUGACGUCGCUGCUGGUCGCGAGUGUGAGGGCGUAGUCCUCGUGGCUGCGCCGAGCGGUUUGCCAGUAGUGACGUAAUGAUCAAUGGAGACGGUAGCUGGCAUUGGUAUUGCGCGGCGAGAGGUGAAAUUCUGCGACCCCCGCAAGACCUCCUAAAGCGAAGGCGUCUGCCAAGGACGUGUUCACCAAUCAUGAACGAAAGUCAGAGGAUCGAAGGCGAUCAGAUACCGCCCUAGUUCUGACCCUAAACGAUGCCAACCAUCAAUCCGCGUGAGCACCCUAUCUAACGGGCUCGGCGGGCAGCUCCCUUCUUCCGGGAAACCAGAGUUUUUGGGUUCCGGGGGGAGUCUGGUUGCAAAGCU
This 594-nucleotide ribosomal RNA is filed under the name Britorchestia ugolinii. Its description in RNAcentral is "bacterial SSU rRNA". It matches the Rfam family "Eukaryotic small subunit ribosomal RNA", at positions 638 to 1138 of the family's 1831-position model. Lineage: Eukaryota; Metazoa; Arthropoda; Malacostraca; Amphipoda; Talitridae. The record is from RNAcentral.